RNAcentral lists this long non-coding RNA (1334 nucleotides) under Homo sapiens (human). RNAcentral describes it as "long intergenic non-protein coding RNA 2052". Lineage: Eukaryota; Metazoa; Chordata; Mammalia; Primates; Hominidae. The record is from RNAcentral.
CGCCCACCGCCUCAGCAACCAACCUCCAGGGAGGGGAAAGGGGGCAGAAGUUUGAGUUAAUAACUAAUAGCUAAAGAUGUAAACAAUAAGCCUCCAUAAAACCCCAAAAGGACUGGACUGGUUUCUGAGAGCUUCCAGGUUGUUGAGCACGUGGAGGUUCUGGGAGGGUCCACACCCAGAGAAGGCAUGGAAGCUGACCCCUUCCCCAUACCUUGCUCUUUGCAUCUCUUCCAUUUGGCUGUUCCCGAGUUGUAUACUUUGUAAUAAGUGGGAUUUCCACCCAACAACAAUUCAGCCACACUGCUUCACACAUCUAGAAUCCAUCCAAAAUUGUAAAGGCUUUGUGGCACUACAGUGAAACAGGCAAGAACAUCUUCCAAACAUCCAGCACAAGAGCACACAGGAGGCCGGCAUAAUCACGAAUUGCAGCUGUCUGAAGGGCAGUCACAUAAAAGAGGAGAAGCUUCACCUUUGCUUCACAAGGCACAUCUUGAACCAGGGAUGGAAAUUACAGAGAGGCCAAAACCAGCUCGGUGUGAGCAGGACUGGUAACAGACUGGCCAAGCAACAGAAGGGGCUGCCCUGUGAAGAAGCAAGCUCUCUGUCAAUGGGAGGUGCAAGCUGAGCCUGCACUACCUUUUGUCACGGUUGCUAUGGAAAAGAUUAAGAGCCCGGAUAGCCCUUCCUCCUCUGGGGGCCUGGGCAUCAGCAAGUCGGAUGGCAGUGGAAGGUGGAGAAAUGGAAUCCUGCUGGGGGCUCAGGAGGCCUGCCCCCUGAUGCUGCCGUGCACUGCAGAUGUCCUUGAUGAAGAGAAUGAAUGGAAGCUGUCUUUCUCAAUGGCAAAAGGGCAUACUGCUGUUAUUGUCAGUGAGGGGUCAGUAGUUUAAAUGAUGAAACUCUGGGGAUCAGCGUAAAGUAAACCAACAUACUGCAUGUAAAUUCCUCAUUCUUACUGCUGUGAGAACAAUUGUUAGGAGCCAAAAACUUCAGAGCUUUCAAAGAACUGUAAUGAGAUAGCACAAUGCAGGCAAAAAGCCAGUGUUAACGGAGCAAGAAACUUCCCAGUUCUGACAUUCACAGCAUGACCUAGAGCAUGCGGAUUCCCCUCUCUGAGUCACUGGUUUCUCACCUGCAAAAGAAAGCGGGGACAGGGAAGGAGGAAGAAGCUUCGAGAGGCUGGAACAGUUGAGGGAGCGCUGACACGGUAAAGGCCACUUUGCUCAUCAUCACCAGGCGUGCUGCCGAAAAUUUCCACUCUGUUUACUCCCAAGACCUUACUCCUACUAUGUGGAGACACAUUUGAAUAAAAAAUUGGCCUCUUUUCAAAGUCAAAA